AUGGGCUUCAGGCUCCUCUGCUGUGUGGCCUUUUGUCUCCUGGGAGCAGGCCCAGUGGAUUCUGGAGUCACACAAACCCCAAAGCACCUGAUCACAGCAACUGGACAGCGAGUGACGCUGAGAUGCUCCCCUAGGUCUGGAGACCUCUCUGUGUACUGGUACCAACAGAGCCUGGACCAGGGCCUCCAGUUCCUCAUUCACUAUUAUAAUGGAGAAGAGAGAGCAAAAGGAAACAUUCUUGAACGAUUCUCCGCACAACAGUUCCCUGACUUGCACUCUGAACUAAACCUGAGCUCUCUGGAGCUGGGGGACUCAGCUUUGUAUUUCUGUGCCAGCAGCGUAG
This is a non-coding RNA of Homo sapiens (human), 343 nucleotides long. Lineage: Eukaryota; Metazoa; Chordata; Mammalia; Primates; Hominidae. The record is from the annotation of a RefSeq genome assembly.